Molecule: ribosomal RNA, 493 nt
Filed under: uncultured bacterium
Lineage: Bacteria
Description: partial 16S ribosomal RNA
Rfam family: Bacterial small subunit ribosomal RNA
Source: RNAcentral
AUUGAACGCUGGCGGCAUGCCUUACACAUGCAAGUCGAACGGUAACAGGUUAAGCUGACGAGUGGCGAACGGGUGAGUAAUAUAUCGGAACGUGCCCAGUCGUGGGGGAUAACUGCUCGAAAGAGCAGCUAAUACCGCAUACGACCUGAGGGUGAAAGCGGGGGAUCGCAAGACCUCGCGCGAUUGGAGCGGCCGAUAUCAGAUUGGGUAGUUGGUGGGGUAAGGGCCCACCAAGCCAACGAUCUGUAGCUGGUCUGAGAGGACGACCAGCCACACUGGGACUGAGACACGGCCCAGACUCCUACGGGAGGCAGCAGUGGGGAAUUUUGGACAAUGGGCGCAAGCCUGAUCCAGCCAUGCCGCGUGCGGGAAGAAGGCCUUCGGGUUGUAGACCGCUUUUGUCAGGGAAGAAAAGGUUCUGGUUAAUACCUGGGACUCAUGACGGUACCUGAAGAAUAAGCACCGGCUAACUACGUGCCAGCCGCCGCCGUAA